AACCUGGUUGAUCCUGCCAGUAGUCAUAUGCUUGUCUCAAAGAUUAAGCCAUGCAUGUGUAAGCACACACUGUUUUAAAAGUGAAGCCGCGAAUGGCUCAUUACAACAGCCACAGUUUAUUAGAACUUACAAUCAUGGAUAACUGUGGUAAUUCUAGAGCUAAUACACGCACAAAAACUUCAACUGAAUUGGUUGAAGUGCUUUUAUUAGAACAAAAACCGAACGGCGUUUGACGAAUGUUGAACGUCGAAACUGUUUGGUGAAUCUGAAUAACUAUUUCUGAUCGCAUGGUCUAGCACCGGCGACAUCACUUUCAAGUGUCUGCCUUAUCAACCUUCGAUGGUAGUCUAUGCGACUACCAUGGUGAUAACGGGUAACGGAGAAUCAGGGUUCGACUCCGGAGAGGGAGCCUGAGAAACGGCUACCACAUCCAAGGAAGGCAGCAGGCGCGCAAAUUACCCACUCCCAGCUUGGGGAGGUAGUGACGAAAAAUAACGAGACGAUUCUCGUUUGAGAAACGUUAUCGAAAUGAGUACGCUUUACACACGCUAACGAGUAGCAAUUGGAGGGCAAGUCUGGUGCCAGCAGCCGCGGUAAUUCCAGCUCCAAUAGCGUAUAUUAAAGUUGCUGCGGUUAAAACGCUCGUAGUUGAAUUGUGGUCUUAGACAACGGUCCCCCUACAUAGGUGUGGCACGGUUGCUCGAGAUCUUCAUUCGUGGUUGCUGUUGUUGCUCUUCAUUGAGUGUCAAUGGUGCCUCGAGAUUUUACUUUGAAAAAAUUAGAGUGCUCAAAGCAGGUUGUGAUGCCUGAAUAAUGGUGCAUGGAAUAAUAGAAUACGAUCUCGGUUCUAUUUUGUUGGUUUUCGAACCGGAGACAAUGAUUGAAAGGAACAGACGGGGGCAUUCGUAUUGCUGCGUUAGAGGUGAAAUUCUUGGAUCGCAGCAAGAUGAACAAUUGCGAAAGCAUUUGCCAAGAAUGUUUUCAUUAAUCAAGAACGAAAGUUAGAGGUUCGAAGGCGAUCAGAUACCGCCCUAGUUCUAACGGUAAACUAUGCCAACCAGCGAUUCGCCGAAGUUCAUUUAAGACUCGGCGAGCAGCUUCCGGGAAACCAAAGUGUUUCGGUUCCGGGGGAAGUAUGGUUGCAAAGCUGAAACUUAAAGGAAUUGACGGAAGGGCACCACCAGGAGUGGAGCCUGCGGCUUAAUUUGACUCAACACGGGAAAACUCACCCGGCCCGGACACUGGAAGGAUUGACAGAUUGACAGCUCUUUCUUGAUUCAGUGGGUAGUGGUGCAUGGCCGUUCUUAGUUGGUGGAGCGAUUUGUCUGGUUAAUUCCGAUAACGAACGAGACUCUACCCUAUUAAAUAGUGACAGUAUUGUAUUUUUUGUGCUGAUCACUUCUUAGAGGGACUGGCAAAUUGAAAGCUGCACGAAAAAGAGCAAUAACAGGUCUGUGAUGCCCUUCGAUGUCCGGGGCUGCACGCGCGCUACAAUGAAAGCGUCAACGUGAGUUACGUCCUUACCUGAAAAGGUUUGGCAAUCGAAUGAAACGUUUUCUUGAAUGGAAUAGGGAAUUGCAAUUGUUUCCCUUGAACGAGGAAUUCCCAGUAAGCGUGAGUCAUUAGCUCGCGUUGAUUACGUCCCUGCCCUUUGUACACACCGCCCGUCGCUACUACCGAUUGGAUGAUUUAGUGAGGUGUUUUGACUGGCGCCAGUAGUCGGAUGUAUUCGGCUUCGCGCCGGGAAAUUUCCCAAACCAAAUCAUCUAGAGGAAGUAAAAGUCGUAACAAGGUUUCCGUAGGUGAACCUGCGGAAGGAUCAUUA
Molecule: ribosomal RNA, 1825 nt
Filed under: Trichinella nativa
Lineage: Eukaryota; Metazoa; Nematoda; Enoplea; Trichinellida; Trichinellidae
Description: SSU rRNA
Rfam family: Eukaryotic small subunit ribosomal RNA
Source: RNAcentral